UUGAACACCAGGAGAGGCUCAGAGUAUGAAUGUGCAGAACCAACACCGUGGAAAGGAAGACACAGGGUGAGCAUCUGGAAGAAGUCUUUGGGAAAGUCCAGUCUGUAGCACAUUGAUCUUGAUUGUCUAGUCAUCCAGUGUGAUAGACUCAGGAGCCGGCAACUGUAGCUCCUCUCCAGUGAACUACUGAAGAGCUGGUGGGAUCUUUGAAAGGCUAAACGUGUUUACAACAAAAGAAAUGGAUUCAUGUGUGAAGGCCACUGAUAGGAAAGGAUUAACAUUUGGAAGCCUGCAUUGAGGUAAAAAGAUCAUUCCACCCCAAAUUUUAGAGUUAAGCUCUUCAAUCUGACUCCUGGACCACCCGCCCCCUUCCUUCUCUGUACCCCCACCCCACCUCCACCCCAUGCCCCGUGCCCACUUCAGUGAAAGCCGUGCUUGGAAACGGAUAUAACACGUAUGUUUUAAGGAGGCCCCCGUUGGUGAGUUAUCGUGACAUUUUUCUAUUUGGUUUCGGGAUUCUGGUUAUGGGGAACCCUGACUGGGAACCGGGAGGACCUGCCAAGGUUUAUGCACCCUACUCAGGGUAAAGGGAGAUGCCCCAUGGUCCACUAGUCAAUUCUGGUUAAUCUUGGAGUUCAGCCAGAGUCACCAGUUUUCUUUUGUUCUUCUUCUGACUGUUUUCUCAUGAGAGCACUUACUAGAGAUACCAGGCAAUAAGCUCUAGAGGCCAAUGUGCCCCAGUGAAUUAGAGAGACCAAGCAUACGGGUAUUUAUCCGUGGGGUUCCAAUACCUGGGUGUCACAUCAGAACUGAGAAACCAUAGGGGCAUUCAAUGACCCUGGGGCCAAGCUCAGGGUUUCACCAGGCCCAGAGUAGAUUAGGGAGUUGAGGAAAUUCAGAGAUGUCCAGCCUGUGAUGGGUUCCUACCAUCUAGGUUAUAAGGGGAAGCUACUAAGAAAGUGGCCUCUGAUUUUCUCUUGGUCAGACUGGUGGACCUCUGGAGCAGAAGACUUAGUUGUUGAAUGUCUCCUGUUUUCUGUUGCCGUUUGGUGCUGUGUCUUGUCUCGUGCAUGUACCUAUUGUUCAGUAUUCUGACUCGGGGUGACUGGAUAUACCAACGAUAGGAUACACUGCUCCAAAGGUUACUCCUGAAACUGCGGAGCUGUGGGAACAUGGGAUAUGGUUGGUCUGUUCACAGACGGGUCUGGUGGCUUCGUUUCUUCAAUGGCUCUAUGAUGCAGGUACUAUACCCCUCUAGGCAUUGGAUUCAGCAGCGGCUAUCUCGACCUGCUUUUUGCCCUUUGAAAUUACAGCAUUGGAGGAGGUACCAUUAAGCCGAUGGUUAUUAGAUAUCAAUAUAAACAAGUAUCAAACAUAGAAUCAAGGAUUUGACCCAGGAUACAACUCAAGGGGCAAGUAUAAAACCUGCAAGCCCCACCUGCCCAAGAAUCAGGUAACUUUGUGGAAUGCUGGGAGUUGUAGUUCUUUGGGGGAAUAACAAAGCCACAUGGGAAAAUAUAGUGGUCAUAUGGUUUUGUCCUUAGAAGCCCCUACAUCAUGUGUCUUUUGGAUACUCUCUGAGAAACCAGGGGUGGUCCUGAUCAAAGUUCAUCCUGGUCAGUAUUUAAUUAAAGCUUGCUUCAAACUUGACUCAAAGUUGUAGAACUAUUUUUUCUCUUUUGAAUCUCAGGAUUAACAGAACCUUCAGGAGAUAGAGAUAAUCUGGAAGAGGGUAGGGUAUAGGAGAGUGGGCCUUAUGGGGCUAUUUCCCACUAGUUCCUGAAUCUUCUACCUUUCUUGGUCUCCAGAUAUAACCAGCCACUUCAUACUGCUACUUCUGUGAGCUGUUCCUGCUACUAUUUCCUGCCUACCACAAUGGAGCUCAGCCAUAAACCACAGUCCAGUAUAAAUGCUUGCUUCCUAAGGGUUUUCAAGAUUGGCUUUCUCUGUGUAGCUCUGGCUGUCCUAGAGCAUGCUCUAUAGACUAGGCUGGCAUCAGACUCAAAGAUCUGCCUGCCUCUGCUUCCCAAGUGCUAAGACAUUAACAAAAACCACCAGGACAAGCUUCCAUGGGGAUAAGAAUCCAUCACAGCAGUGAAGUAUGACAGCAAGCCACAGGCUGGAGUGAGAUGCUGAGGACUCACAUCUUGAACUGCAAGCAAGACCAGAGUAUGUGGACAAGGACAGACGUGUGGCUUUUGAAACCUCAGAUCCUGUUCCAGUGAUGUACUUCCUCCAACAAGGCCACAUUUUCUAAGCUUUCCCAAAUACUGUUCCCAACUGAGGACCAAGUAUUCAAAUAUUCAAACAUCUGAACCUUUGGGGGACAUCAUCAUUCUAGCCAUCAAAACUAUCUGUAUAUUUAUCAAUCAAUCAAUCUAUCUAUCUAUCUAUCUAUCUAUCUAUCUAUCCAUCCAUCCAUCCAUCUAUCCAUCUAUCUAUCUACCUUCUGUCAUCUAUCUAUAUUGAGACCCUCUCUUGGUCCAGAGACUGUAGUAGGAACAUCUAAUUAGACAGAUCUUGUUCACAGAUUCACUGAACAUUGCAGAAAUGGGAUGCUUUGUGGUGCUCCAUCUACCUGUGACUUUGAAUUUGAGUCCACUCUUGUAUGUUCAUAUUUUGUGAUACCACCCUUCAUUCAAGUCAUUUGUUAUAGGGUUUGUUAGUUUUCAGCCCAGUUUUUCUUUCCCCAAUCCUUAAGAGAAAACAACUAUUUUACUCAUGCUUUUUCCUACCCAGGUAGAAACAUAUUUUUUUAAACUCCCCAAUUCUAGAAACUCUUGUCUUUUAACAUAAAGAUUUGGCACCAUGC
Molecule: non-coding RNA, 2812 nt
Organism: Rattus norvegicus (Norway rat)
Lineage: Eukaryota; Metazoa; Chordata; Mammalia; Rodentia; Muridae
Source: RefSeq, a predicted model, not a curated record